UACAGAGGUCCCGAGCGUUGUUCGGAUUCACUGGGCGUAAAGGGUGCGUAGGUGGUUGGGUAAGUUCGAUGUGAAAGCUCAGGGCUUAACCCUGAAAUGGCAUUGAAUACUACUUAACUGGAGGUUUGGAGGGGGGACUGGAAUUCUUGGUGUAGCAGUGAAAUGCGUAGAUAUCAAGAGGAACACCAGUGGCGAAGGCGAGUCCCUGGACAACACCUGACACUGAGGCACGAAAGCUAGGGGAGCAAACAGG
RNAcentral lists this ribosomal RNA (253 nucleotides) under uncultured bacterium. RNAcentral describes it as "partial 16S ribosomal RNA". It matches the Rfam family "Bacterial small subunit ribosomal RNA", at positions 524 to 776 of the family's 1533-position model. The record is from RNAcentral.